GAAAGGCCAAUCAAACUUCGUGAUAGCUGGUUCUCUCCGAAAUGCAUUUAGGUGCAGCGUUGCGUGUUUCUUGCCGGAGGUAGAGCUACUGGAUAGCCGAUGGGCCCUAAAAGGUUACUGACGUUAGCCAAACUCCGAAUGCCGGUAAGUGAGAGCGCAGCAGUGAGACGGUGGGGGAUAAGCUUCAUCGUCGAGAGGGAAACAACCCAGACCACCAUCUAAGGUCCCAAAGCGCGUGCUAAGUGGGAAAGGAUGUGGAGUUGCAUAGACAACCAGGAGGUUGGCUUAGAAGCAGCCACCCUUGAAAGAGUGCGUAAUAGCUCACUGGUCAAGUGAUUCCGCGCCGACAAUGUAACGGGGCUCAAGCACGCCACCGAAGUUGUGGCAUUGAUAUUUUUGGUAAGCCGCACCCUUGUGGUGUUGGUUCAGCCGUGUUGAUGGGUAGGAGAGCGUCGUGUGGCCAGCGAAGCGGCGGUGUAAACCAGCCGUGGAGGCUACACGAGUGAGAAUGCAGGCAUGAGUAGCGAAAGACGGGUGAGAAACCCGUCCUCCGAAAGAUCAAGGUUUCCAGGGCCAGGCUAAUCCGCCCUGGGUAAGUCGGGACCUAAGGCGAGGCCGACAGGCGUAGUCGAUGGACAACGGGUUUAUAUUCCCGUACUGAUGAAAAACCGUCCAAGCUAAUCCAGUAAUGCUAAGCAUCUGAAUCCUCUAGAUGGAUCCCUUCGGGGUGAAGCGUGAGGCCUAGCGUGCGACCCUAUGCUGGUGCGGUUAGCGUAUUAACAGGUGUGACGCAGGAAGGUAGCUGAGCCGGGCGAUGGUUGUCCCGGUCUAAGGAUGUAGGCCGAGAGAUAGGCAAAUCCGUCUCUCAUAUAAGGCUGAGACCCGAUGGGUAGCCCGUAAGGGUGAAAUCAGUGAUCCUAUGCUGCCAAGAAAAGCAUCGACGCGAGGUUUUAGUCACCCGUACCCCAAACCGACUCAGGUGAUCAGGUAGAGAAUACUAAGGAGAUCGAGAGAAUCGUGGUUAAGGAACUCGGCAAAAUGCCCCCGUAACUUCGGGAGAAGGGGGGCCUGAGGCGUGAAGGGAUUUACUCCUGGAGCGUUCGAAGGCCGCAGAGACCAGUGGGAAGCGACUGUUUACUAAAAACACAGGUCCGUGCCAAGUCGCAAGACGAUGUAUACGGACUGACGCCUGCCCGGUGCUGGAAGGUUAAGAGGAACGGUUAGCCGCAAGGCGAAGCUGAGAAUUUAAGCCCCAGUAAACGGCGGUGGUAACUAUAACCAUCCUAAGGUAGCGAAAUUCCUUGUCGGGUAAGUUCCGACCUGCACGAAUGGCGUAACGACUUCCCAGCUGUCUCAACCGCGAACUCGGCGAAAUUGCAUUACGAGUAAAGAUGCUCGUUACGCGCAGCAGGACGGAAAGACCCCGUGACCUUUACUACAGCUUGGUAUUGGUGUUCGGUGUGGCUUGUGUAGGAUAGGUGGGAGACUUUGAAGCUUGGACGCUAGUUCAGGUGGAGUCAUCGUUGAAAUACCACUCUGGUCAUAUUGGAUACCUAACUUCGAACCGUGAUCCGGUUCAGGGACAGUGCCUGGUGGGUAGUUUAACUGGGGCGGUUGCCUCCUAAAAAGUAACGGAGGCGCCCAAAGGUUCCCUCAACCUGGUUGGCAAUCAGGUGUCGAGUGUAAGUGCACAAGGGAGCUUGACUGUAAGACUGACAAGUCGAGCAGGGACGAAAGUCGGGACUAGUGAUCCGGCAGUGGCUUGUGGAAGCGCUGUCGCUCAACGGAUAAAAGGUACCUCGGGGAUAACAGGCUGAUCUUGCCCAAGAGUCCAUAUCGACGGCAUGGUUUGGCACCUCGAUGUCGGCUCGUCGCAUCCUGGGGCUGGAGUAGGUCCCAAGGGUUGGGCUGUUCGCCCAUUAAAGCGGUACGCGAGCUGGGUUUAGAACGUCGUGAGACAGUUCGGUCCCUAUCCGCUGCGCGCGCAGGAAAUUUGAGAAGAUCUAUCCCUAGUACGAGAGGACCGGGAUGGACGAACCUCUGGUGUGUCAGUUGUUCCGCCAGGAGCACCGCUGAUUAGCUACGUUCGGAACGGAUAACCGCUGAAAGCAUCUAAGCGGGAAGCCGGCUUCGAGAUGAGAUUUCCAUCCCUUAGGGGGAGAGGCUCGCAGCUAGACUACUGCGUUGAUAGGCCGGAUGUGGAAGAGAGGACUAAAGACUCUUGGAGCUGACCGGUACUAAUAAGCCGAUAAUUUGAUAACAC
This 2263-nucleotide ribosomal RNA is filed under the name Cryobacterium lactosi. Its description in RNAcentral is "Cryobacterium sp. Sr59 partial 23S ribosomal RNA". It matches the Rfam family "Bacterial large subunit ribosomal RNA", at positions 823 to 2925 of the family's 2925-position model. The record is from RNAcentral. Lineage: Bacteria; Bacillati; Actinomycetota; Actinomycetes; Micrococcales; Microbacteriaceae.